GACAGAGGUGCCGAGCGUUAGGCGGAAUCACUGGGCUUAAAGCGUGUGUAGGCGGAUUCCUAAGUACCUUGUGAAAUCCCACGGCUCAACCGUGGAACUGCUCGGUAUACUGGGUAUCUUGAGCCACUUAGGGGCGACCGGAACAAAUGGUGGAGCGGUGAAAUGCGCAGAUAUCAUUUGGAACGCCAAUGGUGAAAACAGGUCGCUGGGAGUGUGCUGACGCUGAGACACGAAAGCCAGGGGAGCAAACGGG
RNAcentral lists this ribosomal RNA (253 nucleotides) under uncultured bacterium. RNAcentral's name for it is "partial 16S ribosomal RNA". It matches the Rfam family "Bacterial small subunit ribosomal RNA", at positions 524 to 776 of the family's 1533-position model. The record is from RNAcentral.